RNAcentral lists this ribosomal RNA (447 nucleotides) under uncultured bacterium. Its description in RNAcentral is "SSU rRNA". It matches the Rfam family "Bacterial small subunit ribosomal RNA", at positions 26 to 518 of the family's 1533-position model. The record is from RNAcentral.
AGAGCGAACGCUGGCGGCAGGCCUAACACAUGCAAGUCGAACGGACCCUUCGGGGUUAGUGGCGGACGGGUGAGUAACACGUGGGAACGUGCCUUUAGGUUCGGAAUAGCUCCUGGAAACGGGUGGUAAUGCCGAAUGUGCCCUUCGGGGGAAAGAUUUAUCGCCUUUAGAGCGGCCCGCGUCUGAUUAGCUAGUUGGUGAGGUAAAGGCUCACCAAGGCUACGAUCAGUAGCUGGUCUGAGAGGAUGACCAGCCACAUUGGGACUGAGACACGGCCCAAACUCCUACGGGAGGCAGCAGUGGGGAAUCUUGCGCAAUGGCGAAAGCCUGACGCAGCCAUGCCGCGUGGAUGAUGAAAGCCUAUGGGUUGUAAACUCCUUUUAUCAGAGAAGAAAUAUUGACAGUAUCUGGGGAAUAAGCAUCGGCUAACUCCGUGCCAGCAGCCGC